AUUCCCUUCCUGUGCAGCUAGGUGCCAGAAGUGGAUUUGGACUCCAAAUCCCAGGUCAAAGGGGUCCCUGUCUGAGUCUCCCCUGUGGGUCAGCCUUGGUGCCCUUCACUGUACAACACCUACACCAGUGGGGUGGAUGCCAGCCUGGAAUUGGUGCCUGAAGUACAGACACAGAAGGACUGCUGGGCCCAGGCAUUGCUGCUAGUCCUUGCAGCAUCGGGACAUCUUCUCAUGAAUGUUCUACCACCCUUGUUUGGUUUUCCCUCAUUGCAGCAGAACCAGGUGACGGCAAAAGGCAUACCUGCACACACAAGGGAAGGCAAGUGGUAGAAUGACAGCUGGUAGCUGGAAGGCAGGAAGGGUGGACAGCUUCUUUCAAACAGCAGAAUUUGUUUCUACUGUCUGGAAGCUUUCAUGGCAUUACAGCCUCUGCUGACUAUCACCAGCAUGGAUAACUUACAAAGGAAAUGCCCCAGUUUAUAUUAGUCUCACUUGAAGACAGCUACAGAAGAAACUCCUAGGACAUUGAAAGCUCCCACCCUAGGAAAAACUUCAGGAAAAAGGAAUGCACGAGCAGGAUGUAACCCAUCUGAUGAUGCAUCUUCAAUCAAAGGUUUGUCAUUUACUGAAGAGAAAGGCUCAAGGGAGCAGAUCCUUCCAUGUUUUCAGUUGGCAUGGGUCCACAGAACAGCUGUGCCAAUUACUUCCAGUUGAGGACUACCACUGGGUGUAUAGCUGCUUGUACUGAAGUUGUUGCAAUUACUAUCAUUAUGUUAUUUCUUGGCAAGGAAAGGAGAAAGAUAAGUGAGUGUCUGGGGUGCUUUGUUUAACUGCGGUGGGCCACUUACUCAUGCCAACCACCGAGAGCUACUAGGAAGCAAGCACAGCGAGAAGUGAACUUCUUGGAAAUUUCAGAUUUAACACGGUAAGGAGACAAAGGGCCUUCUUAAUGAAACCUAAUAUACUUUAGGUCUGCCAGUUCCUUCAGAAAGGGAAAGCAUUUUUCAAUGUGUUAGAUUACUGCUGCACUACCUAUUAUGUGCUUGCUUUUAUGCAGCUGACAGAGAUCUUUACCACUGCUUUGACCUGCAGGAGCUACUCGUGUUAAUGCCAGCACCGAGGAAAACUAUCGCGUGGUUUACCUCCACCUGAGGAACCAUCUUGAUGACUUGCUCCAAAUGGUACACAACUAUUCACACACCUAUGAUCACAGUGCUGCGAAGGGAAGUCUUUAGACAAAAUGAAGAGUGGGCUGGAAGCUUCAGAUGGCAGCUAGGGGUGUGAAGGACUUCAGUGUCUUGUUGCUCGGCGUGCACAGCUGUGAGAGCCCUCUCACAUCAGGAAAGCUUCAGGGCCUCCUUCUAGCAAACCAACUGCCCCCAGUGCUCAGACAAACAUUGCAUUGCAUCUGGUCUGGAUGUUGCAUUGCAGCCAGUUCAACACAGCAUGUAUUGUGAAGAUGAUGUUUUCCUUUUUUUCCUCUUUUUGUACAGCAAAGCUUCAGCAGUUCCUGGCUGCAGCACGGAGGUACUGAACAGUUCACUGCAAUGCUCUGGGGCUCAGACCAAGCGUAGGGCAGCGCCACCAUCAGCAGGAGGGCCCCGUCCUACUCUAGCUUUGCCAAUGAAAUACGGAGAGAACCCUUUCAUACUUAAUGUAUGUGUUUUACUCAUUAAAGAGUGCAAUU
Molecule: long non-coding RNA, 1687 nt
Organism: Gallus gallus (chicken)
Lineage: Eukaryota; Metazoa; Chordata; Aves; Galliformes; Phasianidae
Source: Ensembl